GAGAUCACUUCUCGCCGAAUCUUAGCGCCUCAAGCUUCUUUCACCAUGCGAACCGCUUUUCUGUGCCUGUGUGCUCUUCUUGCAGUUGCUGCUUUUGCUUCAACAGCUAAUGCUCAAAGGGCAACGGAGGUCGGUCGAUUGUAUCUCGUUCCGAAUGGGAACCUCCCCAAUGGCGCCGGGCUGCUCCGCAGUGAUUACUCUCCGGUAGGAGGAAGCAUGGUCCACGGAGGUAAGCGAGGGGGCCUCGACUCUCUCAGCGGAAUGGCCUUUGGUCGUCGGAGGUAAAAGCUUGAUCGUAAUCGCUGCGAAUGCGCGCUUCUGUCUUCUGCAACAUCAGAUGAGUCUGAACCAUGCCUUUGCCUCUCCAACAUGUCUUCACGAGCUGCGUCCGCGUUAGCAACUUGCGUCCACCAACGGAGUGAUUCCUUCGCCUCAACUUACAAAUCGUUGAUUUCAAGUGGUAUGAGGCGUAGAGUGAGGACUGGGAUCGCUUCGCUUGAGGAUAUUCACGAUAGAGUGACAAAUCGAAGGCUUUCGCCUGAACGCGUCAACAUUGUCCGAAUAAAGAAAACCGCAUAGCUGUUACCAAUCCUUU
Molecule: long non-coding RNA, 595 nt
Organism: Galendromus occidentalis (western predatory mite)
Lineage: Eukaryota; Metazoa; Arthropoda; Arachnida; Mesostigmata; Phytoseiidae
Exons: 2
Source: RefSeq, a predicted model, not a curated record